This 723-nucleotide ribosomal RNA is filed under the name Bacillus licheniformis. Its description in RNAcentral is "partial 16S ribosomal RNA". The record is from RNAcentral. Lineage: Bacteria; Bacillati; Bacillota; Bacilli; Caryophanales; Bacillaceae.
AGUCUUGCGACCGUACUCCCAGGCGGAGUGCUUAAUGCGUUUGCUGCAGCACUAAAGGGCGGAAACCCUCUAACACUUAGCACUCAUCGUUUACGGCGUGGACUACCAGGGUAUCUAAUCCUGUUCGCUCCCCACGCUUUCGCGCCUCAGCGUCAGUUACAGACCAGAGAGUCGCCUUCGCCACUGGUGUUCCUCCACAUCUCUACGCAUUUCACCGCUACACGUGGAAUUCCACUCUCCUCUUCUGCACUCAAGUUCCCCAGUUUCCAAUGACCCUCCCCGGUUGAGCCGGGGGCUUUCACAUCAGACUUAAGAAACCGCCUGCGCGCGCUUUACGCCCAAUAAUUCCGGACAACGCUUGCCACCUACGUAUUACCGCGGCUGCUGGCACGUAGUUAGCCGUGGCUUUCUGGUUAGGUACCGUCAAGGUGCCGCCCUAUUCGAACGGUACUUGUUCUUCCCUAACAACAGAGUUUUACGAUCCGAAAACCUUCAUCACUCACGCGGCGUUGCUCCGUCAGACUUUCGUCCAUUGCGGAAGAUUCCCUACUGCUGCCUCCCGUAGGAGUCUGGGCCGUGUCUCAGUCCCAGUGUGGCCGAUCACCCUCUCAGGUCGGCUACGCAUCGUCGCCUNNNUGAGCCGUUACCUCACCAACUAGCUAAUGCGCCGCGGGUCCAUCUGUAAGUGGUAGCUAAAAGCCACCUUUUAUGAUUGAACCAUGC